UAGAGGUGUUUCUGCGUUUGCGUCGAAACAUCGCGAGAUAGAACCCCUGCCUUUGUCUACCAUCGUUUCCUCGGCGGGUUCGCCCGCCAGUGAGGACACUCCAAACCCUUUUGCAAUAGUCGUAACCGUACUAAAAUUUAAUCGUUUUA
RNAcentral lists this unclassified non-coding RNA (149 nucleotides) under uncultured fungus. Its description in RNAcentral is "sequence contains ITS1, 5.8S rRNA gene". Lineage: Eukaryota; Fungi. The record is from RNAcentral.